This 2887-nucleotide unclassified non-coding RNA is filed under the name Leishmania donovani. RNAcentral describes it as "gene:LdHU3.26.2970(CDS-product:Sec1/Munc18_relate d_protein_putative)". The record is from RNAcentral. Lineage: Eukaryota; Euglenozoa; Kinetoplastea; Trypanosomatida; Trypanosomatidae.
UUCUUCUGUUCGUUGCAUCUAUAGCAAACUUCUAGUUUCUCGUGUCAGCCAUGCGCGGUGGCAGUCCACCGCAGGCGGCUGGCGGCCGUCUCAACUCCAGCCCCGCCGCUUCCAUGCCGAGUGGCGAGUUGUCGUCUGCCUCGUCGACGAGCGCCUACGCCGGCGGCCUCUCGUCGGCGCCCGUUCCGGCGGGAGCCAAGGAGAGGGCCCAGAACGGCAAGAAGGCCGCCUUCACCCGCAGAGGCAUCCUCGGCUGCGUGAAGCAGCGAAUCUUUGCUGAAAUGCUUGACCCCGUGGAGGGUGACUACAAUAUAGUGGUGUGCGACAACAAGGGGGCCGAGAUCCUCAGCACAUGCGUGCGCAUGCACGACUUGAUGGACCACGGCGUGACUCUCGUCGAGGAUCUUGGCAUGCCACGUCAGCCGGUGCUCAGCAGCGCCGCCAUCUACCUUAUCGAGCCCACCGAGGAGUCCGUGCGCCGGGUGAUGAAUGACUGGCAGGCGAAGAACAUGUACCGCGAGGCGCACGUUUUCUUCACCUCGUCUUCGUCGGAACGACUCAUUCAGAUCAUGGCCUCGGAGCCGCGCCUCGUGCAGGCCAUCAAGACCUUGAAGGACAUGUUGCUCGACUUUGAGGUUCCAGAAAGCUUGCUCUUCAACUUCUGCAUGCACAGCGACAUCCAGAGACUUUUCCCACCCGACGUGGCGCUCUCCGGAGGGUGCCAGAACAUCCUCAGCGAGGUCGCCACGCGGCUGGUGUCCGUCUUCUUCACCAUUGGUGCCGGCGUACCAACGGUGCAGUACCAGGGCAACAGUCAACUGGCGCAGCAGGUGGCGCGCAUCUUCAUUGACCAGGCCGCCCAAGCAUCGCGCACGAACCCGGCCACGUUCCGCAUGUCCAGCGCUGCGACGCCAUGUGGCGGUGGCGCGGCAGACGAGUCCCCGCUGCUCAUCCUCGUAGACCGCUCCUUCGACGCCGUGGAGCCGCUCAUGCACGAACGCACGUAUCAGUGCCUGCUGAACGACCUCAUGCCUAUCGAGAACAACAUCUACGAGCAGACCUACGAGGGUCGCUCGGGGCAGGAGGCAACGCGCAGCUGCCCGAUCGACGAGCAUGACCCGUAUUGGUGCCAGUACCGCCACAAGUUCUUUCCUGUCUGCCUCCUCGAGUUCCCGAAGAAACUGCAGAGCUUGAUGGCGGCCAACCCGAACCUUGUGGCGGGCAUGAGAAGACUGAACAGCGGGUACGGGGCGGGAAGCAAACUCGGUGAUGUCGGCAGCGCCAUUCGUGCCCUGCCGGAGUUUCAGGAACAGCAGGCGAAGAUCUCCCUGCACAUCGACAUCUGCACCAAGAUCAUGGACCGCUACAGGCAGCAGAAGCUGGCGGAGGUGUGCGAAGUGGAGCAGGACGUCGCCACCGGGCGACGACCGUUCAAGGAGCUGUACGACAACAUCCACCGCCUGACAGCGGACGUCUCUCUGCCGCUUGGCGUGCGCGUGCGUCUCAUCCUGCUGCUGAUUGCUGGCACAAACACGCGCGAGUUCUCCGAGGCGAAGAAGCUUAUGCUUCUGCAGGAGGCCGGGCUCAGCAGCCAGGCCGACCUCUGCAACUCCUUUUCUAUGCUCAUCUCGCGAACGGGCCAGCUGCCGCAGGAGGCGGCAGCGCAGGGCACCGACAGCGAUGCGAACAACGGCGGCUGCAACGGCGGAAACGGCAAGAACCCCAGCGUCUCACUCGCGCGCCGCUCUCUGCGCAUGAACCGCACAGGUGUCCAGGGCGUGAGCGGCUCGCCGGGCGGCAACGCGCAGGCGAACGCGGCUAACGAAGGUGAUGAAAAUGCGAGUGCCCCAGCGGCGGACCUGUACCGGAACCAGGCAUACUUGAUACUCCGUGCCGCCGCGAGCAGCACACUCAGCACGUCGGACUUCCCCAUCUUCCGUACCAGCUUCGGUGGUGGGCGUGGUGGCAGCCUUCGCGGAGCACUGCAGCAGCGACGCGCGCUUCGUGCUGCUGGCGGUGGCAACGAGGGUAUCGACUUUGGCGGCCUUGCCGGUGGAAACACCAAACUGACGCUCGACCUGGGCCACGAGGGAAAGUUUGCGCUAAAGACACGACGCCGCAUUGUACUGUUCGUGUUGGGCGGCGUAACGUACGGUGAGGUGCGUGCCGCGUACGAGAUCGCGCAGACCGCGCAUGUGGAGGUGUUUGUGGGCGGCACGUCGCUAUUGACUCCAGAUAGGUUCCUUUCUAGUCUGAACUCUCUGCGCUAAACAACGGAGGUACACGUUAAGUCCCGUUUCCAUUUCCGUUGCCUUGUGCGGAGGGGCAAGCAGAGGAAGCGUUGGUGACAUAUUUGCGCUCGCGCACGCGAUACCCGGUGCGCGCUCGACCUUGGCAGCUGCCGCCGUCACGCGCCUGCACGCACAUACACACACUCCUGUGCCGAAGCUGUGAAGUGUUCUUUUUUCGUUACUUAUUCUGCGUGCCAUGUAAAAGUGCUUGGGCAUGCUUCUGCUGCUGCGUAGCAGGUUGUAUGCACCUGUGCGUGUACGGCUUGUCUCUCUGCCUGUCUCUCUCUGGGCACACCCGAAGAAUCUUAGCGCGACGCACUUGUCCCUUCAGACAUUUGUGGGUUGGCGGCCACGUGCAGCGAUGCAUAUGCGCGCUAGUGCGUGUGUCUGUGUGUGUGUGUGUCUGUCUGUCUGUGUUUUGUUUCCCUCAACUCAUUCUCACUUGCAUUUUACAGCUGGUUGUUCUGUGCGCUGCUGCUUUCUCUUCGCCCCUCGCUUGGAGGGGGUGGUGGCGGUGGCGGAGCCUUGUGAUGUUUUCUACACUGUUUACGGUUGCACUGCACUUGCGCCACCUUUUGUUUCUCCCUCCAUCCUUU